RNA transcript from Tachysurus vachellii, 3459 nucleotides. It is a transcript of the gene named centrosomal protein of 135 kDa-like, with no coding region annotated. The transcript has 4 exons. The record is from RefSeq and is a predicted model, not a curated record. Lineage: Eukaryota; Metazoa; Chordata; Actinopteri; Siluriformes; Bagridae.
ACAGCAGCAUAAGCGCAGCACCAAAAAGCAGAAUGGAGAUGAGACAGGCUGCAGUUAAAAUUUCAAUGUGGUUUCAAACAAGAGGUUCAAUUCCUGUGAAGAUCCAGAUUACCAGAAUGAAAAUGACCUGGCCAAUGAGAGCAUCAAGAACAUCAAAUCAGGUAAUACUUCAGGGAGCAGAUAUUACAGACUUGCUGCAGUGUGUUUGACCCUGCUGUGUGUUCUCCUGAUUUCUGGUGUCUCAGUGCUGUGGGUCAAGUUCAACAAACUGGCAACAACCGACUCCAGACCAGCUAUGCAAACCUGACUACUGAGAGGGACCAACUUUACAGUGCUCUGAAGAGAGAUGAAAGACCAGCUACAGGCCAGCUACCACAACUUGACAGUUGAGAAAGACCGGUUACAGAGCAUUUACAACAACCUGAAAGUCGAGAAAGACCAGUUACAGACCAGUUACAACAACCUGACAAUUGAGAGAUACAAGCAACAUACCAGUUACAACAACCUAACAGUUGAAAGAGACCAGUUACAGACCAGUUACAACAACCUGACAGUUAAGAAAGACCAGCUACAGACCAGUUACAACAACCUGACAGUUGAGAAAGACCGGUUACAGAGCAUUUAUAACAACCUGAAAGUCGAGAGAGGCCAGCGACAGACCAGUUACAACAACCUGACAGUCGAGAAAGACCAGCUACAGACCAGUUACAACAACCUGACAGUCGAGAAAGACCAGCUACAGACCAGUUACAACAACCUGACAGUCGAGAAAGACCAGUUACAGACCAGUUACAACAACCUGACAAUUGAGAGAUACAAGCAACAUACCAGUUACAACAACCUAACAGUUGAAAGAGACCAGUUACAGACCAGUUACAACAACCUGACAGUUAAGAAAGACCAGCUACAGACCAGUUACAACAACCUGACAGUCGAGAAAGACCAGUUACAGACCAGUUACAACAACCUGACAGUCGAGAAAGACCAGUUACAGACCAGUUACAACAACCUGACAAUUGAGAGAUACAAGCAACAUACCAGUUACAACAACCUAACAGUUGAAAGAGACCAGUUACAGACCAGUUACAACAACCUGACAGUUAAGAAAGACCAGCUACAGACCAGUUACAACAACCUGACAGUCGAGAAAGACCAGUUACAGACCAGUUACAACAACCUGACAGUCGAGAAAGACCAGUUACAGACCAGUUACAACAACCUGACAAUUGAGAGAUACAAGCAACAUACCAGUUACAACAACCUAACAGUUGAAAGAGACCAGUUACAGACCAGGUACAACAACCUGUUAAUCGAUAUAGACCAGCUACAGACCAGAUACAACAACCUGACCGUGGUGAGAGAACAAGACCAGGCAAAAUGUACAGAAUUGGCUAAUGAAAUGGAGAAACUGCAGACAAACUACAGCAGAAUGACAAACCAGAAAGACCAGUUGCAGAAGGAGAAAGAUGAAAUUCAGGACAUAUUGGCAAAGAUAGAAAAAACUCAGGGAUGGAUAUACUUUAUGGAUGGAUAUACUAUACUUCGGUUCCAGUCUUUACCUCAUCUCUACUGAGAAGAAGCGAUGGACUGAAAGCAGACAGGACUGUAAAACGAACAAAGCAGACCUUGCGAUCAUCCAGACCAAAGAGGAACAGAUUCUGGGCUCCAGGGGAACCCAAUAAUGUGGGUAAUGAGGACUGUGCUGAGAUUUGGGGUUUUCCAGGUAAAAAGUUCUGGAACGACAGGCCGUGCGAUGAUAAAGUAAGGUGGAUCUGUGAGAAACUGUCUACUCUGUGGUAAGAUGAAAAAGAAAAGAAUAAAAGUCUUAGUGAUGUAAGAAAAUAACUCUGACUUUGCAUUUCACUAUGAUUUCUUUUCAGAUUAAACUUAGCAUCAGUCAGCAAGUGAUUUCCAAUGAACGUCACAAGAGUAUCCUUGAGUACCCCAACAAUAUUAAAAAUCCUAAAUUAGCAGUUUCUGAAAGAUUCAAAUCUAAUCUAAAUCUAAUUCAAAUCUUCUACCUGGUGAUACCUGCUGAAGACCUGUAUCUGCAUGAGCUAAUGCACUCCACUGUGAUGCAGCCACAUGAUUGGUAAACUCCACAAAUGUAAGACUGUAAUAAAGCAGACAAAUAAUAAAGUGUAAUAAAGUGUUACUCUAAUGCCAUAGUAGCACUUUAGCCAGAUUUCGACAUUCAACACCUUUUUUAAGGAGCUGUUAGCUAGCUAGCUUCUUUUGUUUAGCUAAUUUACUGUAAUCACAGAUGUCUAUGGAUGCACUAAGUAUUUUUUCCCCAAAGCAUGAGAAAAAAAAAUGUAUCAAAUAUAUAUAUCUUAAUGAGACUCUUCACAUAUUGGUGUCUGUAAUUUUUUUUAUUUCACUGUUCAAUGGUUACAAAAAUCAGUGGCAUUAGCUUGUAUUGUUUUUUCUGUUUCUGAAAUAUUUCUUGAAGAUUCUAAAUAAGGCAAACGAAGUGGAAUUCAUUAUUUAUUUGUCGUGGAGUAUUUUGUAAAUGAAAUCAGAGCCUUGGAUUUGAAUGAAUGCUAGAAUUAAUCUAUUGUGAAGUGUAAUAACAUAACUGGCAAUGCAGUCAGGAGUUGUUUGUUUAUAUUUGUUGUAGGCUUUUUAAAUCUGUUUAUUUGUCAUAAUCUACUGCAAAUUGGGCAUUUACAGCUUUCAAAAUGACGGCGAAAAAAAAUAUUUUAGUGGGCUCACUAAUACAUUCAUUAAUGGUGCUUGCAAAGCAACAUUAUUACUAUUGUGCCGGACAAAAUUUCGGCGCGUAACUUGUCCCACAGCUUUUGUCCUAGACCCAUGAAUGACAUGUCAAAUCGACCGGCUCAUUGAGGAGAGGUGUGGUAUGACUUUUCUAAGCGAUCCGAGUACCGGUACUUCCAGUACCGGGUCUCAAAAUGGCCUCGGCAAGCUUUCGAACAACUCGGCAAGCUUUCGAACAACUCGGCAAGCUUUCGAACUAUCUACACCAAAAUCGGCCAGCUCCUUUAGGGUGAUAGGGUGAUACUUGUAGGGCUGAACAAACUUUUAAAUUGGUGUACCGACUGGCCUUUCAGUUGUGCCGCAGCCCCGCCCCCAAAAUAUGCAAAAUCAAAAAACUUUUUACAAGAUGAACAUGUGACAUAUCAAAACACUCACAACAAUGAGGGGAACUUCCUCACGUGUAUUUUGAUGACGUCACGUGAUGUCACGUGAAAAUUAAAAAUUAGCACAACAUGGAUAUGUGACAUAUCAAAACACUCACAACAAUGAGGGGAACUUCCUCACGUGUAUUUUGAUGACGUCACGUGAUGUCACGUGAAAAUUAAAAAUUAGCACAACAUGGACAUGUGACAUAUCAAAACACUCAGCACAAUGAGGAAAACUUCCACAAGAGUAUUCAGAUGAUGUCACAUGAUUGACUCGACUAGCCUCCAGGAUUUGCCACGUGCAAGCACCAUUCAC